Pocillopora damicornis (cauliflower coral) is the source of this 166-nucleotide long non-coding RNA. NCBI's taxonomy places the organism in Eukaryota, Metazoa, Cnidaria, Anthozoa, Scleractinia, Pocilloporidae. The record is from RefSeq and is a predicted model, not a curated record.
UGGACCAAUACCCUCUGCAAAAUGAAAAAGAACUUAAUUUCAUCAAGUUACAAUUCAAGGUUGGCCUUUGCAUAAGAAAAGGUUAUGCCAGAGAGGUCCUGAGAGCCUGUACAGAGAUGAUGUUUAUCAGGUCUAAACUUGGGCUCAAUAAAAAUAUAAAUUUGCA